Molecule: ribosomal RNA, 750 nt
Filed under: Lingulaulax polyedra
Lineage: Eukaryota; Dinophyceae; Gonyaulacales; Lingulodiniaceae
Description: Lingulodinium polyedra partial Bacterial small subunit ribosomal RNA
Rfam family: Bacterial small subunit ribosomal RNA
Source: RNAcentral
UGAAGAGUUUGAUCAUGGCUCAGAUUGAACGCUGGCGGCAGGCUUAACACAUGCAAGUCGAGCGGAAACGAUGGGAGCUUGCUCCCAGGCGUCGAGCGGCGGACGGGUGAGUAACGCGUAGGAAUCUGCCCAGUAGAGGGGGAUAGCCCGGGGAAACCCGGAUUAAUACCGCAUACGCCCUACGGGGGAAAGGCCGGGAUCUUCGGACCGGUCACUAUUGGAGGAGCCUGCGUGAGAUUAGCUUGUUGGUGGGGUAAUGGCCUACCAAGGCGACGAUCUCUAGCUGGUCUGAGAGGAUGAUCAGCCACACCGGAACUGAGACACGGUCCGGACUCCUACGGGAGGCAGCAGUGGGGAAUAUUGCACAAUGGGCGCAAGCCUGAUGCAGCCAUGCCGCGUGAAUGAUGAAGGCCUUAGGGUUGUAAAAUUCUUUCGCCAAGGAUGAUAAUGACAGUACUUGGUAAAGAAGCCCCGGCUAACUUCGUGCCAGCAGCCGCGGUAAUACGAAGGGGGCUAGCGUUGUUCGGAAUUACUGGGCGUAAAGCGCACGUAGGCGGAUUUUUAAGUCAGAUGUGAAAUCCCAAGGCUCAACCUUGGAACUGCAUUUGAAACUGGGAAUCUAGAGAUCAGGAGAGGUUAGUGGAAUACCGAGUGUAGAGGUGAAAUUCGUAGAUAUUCGGUGGAACACCAGUGGCGAAGGCGACUAACUGGACUGAUACUGACGCUGAGGUGCGAAAGUGUGGGGAGCAA